AAGUCGUAACAAGGUCUCCGUAGGUGAACCUGCGGAGGGAUCAUUAAAGAGUUUAGGGUCCUCGUGGCCCGAACCUCCCAACCCGUGCUUACCUUACCUCUGUUGCUUUGGCAGGCCGUGGAUCCCUAGCGGGACCCCCGCAUGCCCCGGUGGCUCCGGCUGCCUGGGGCACCGCGCGUGUCUGUCAGAAGCCAAAACCUUAAAACUUUAUUCAACCUCGUGUCGUCUGAGAUAUAUCAUAAAUAGCUCAAAACUUUCAACAACGGAUCUCUUGGUUCCA
This 280-nucleotide unclassified non-coding RNA is filed under the name air metagenome. Its description in RNAcentral is "partial contains small subunit ribosomal RNA, internal transcribed spacer 1, and 5.8S ribosomal RNA". The stretch from base 1 to 46 matches the Rfam family "Eukaryotic small subunit ribosomal RNA", at positions 1786 to 1831 of the family's 1831-position model. The record is from RNAcentral.